UUGAAUUUUAAUGAAGAGUUUGGUUGUAGCUGGCCCAUUCAUUUGGCAUGUGCACACCUUCCUCUUUCUAUCCCACACACACCUGUGAACCUGUGAGACAGAGAUGGGGAAUUUACUUGCUGCUUUUGGAAUACAAAGGCAAUAGGUUAUUGGACCCCCCCUCUGUCUACUCAAUUAAUAUAAACUCAAUUUAUUUAAAACGAAUGUAAUGGAUGUAACACAUCUCAUAC
RNAcentral lists this unclassified non-coding RNA (230 nucleotides) under soil metagenome. RNAcentral describes it as "partial internal transcribed spacer 1". The record is from RNAcentral.